CUACGGGAGGCAGCAGUGGGGAAUAUUGGACAAUGGGGGGAACCCUGAUCCAGCCAUGCCGCGUGUGUGAAGAAGGCCUUUUGGUUGUAAAGCACUUUAAGCGAGGAGGAGGCUACUUAGAUUAAUACUCUAGGAUAGUGGACGUUACUCGCAGAAUAAGCACCGGCUAACUCUGUGCCAGCAGCCGCGGUAAUACAGAGGGUGCAAGCGUUAAUCGGAUUUACUGGGCGUAAAGCGCGCGUAGGUGGCCAAUUAAGUCAAAUGUGAAAUCCCCGAGCUUAACUUGGGAAUUGCAUUCGAUACUGGUUGGCUAGAGUAUGGGAGAGGAUGGUAGAAUUCCAGGUGUAGCGGUGAAAUGCGUAGAGAUCUGGAGGAAUACCGAUGGCGAAGGCAGCCAUCUGGCCUAAUACUGACACUGAGGUGCGAAAGCAUGGGGAGCAAACAGGAUUAGAUACCCUGGUAGUCCAUGCCGUAAACGAUGUCUACUAGCCGUUGGGGCCUUUGAGGCUUUAGUGGCGCAGCUAACGCGAUAAGUAGACCGCCUGGGGAGUACGGUCGCAAGACUAAAACUCAAAUGAAUUGACGGGGGCCCGCACAAGCGGUGGAGCAUGUGGUUUAAUUCGAUGCAACGCGAAGAACCUUAC
This 644-nucleotide ribosomal RNA is filed under the name uncultured Acinetobacter sp. Its description in RNAcentral is "bacterial SSU rRNA". It matches the Rfam family "Bacterial small subunit ribosomal RNA", at positions 339 to 974 of the family's 1533-position model. Lineage: Bacteria; Pseudomonadati; Pseudomonadota; Gammaproteobacteria; Moraxellales; Moraxellaceae. The record is from RNAcentral.